This 207-nucleotide ribosomal RNA is filed under the name uncultured delta proteobacterium. RNAcentral's name for it is "partial 16S ribosomal RNA". It matches the Rfam family "Bacterial small subunit ribosomal RNA", at positions 568 to 774 of the family's 1533-position model. The record is from RNAcentral. Lineage: Bacteria; Deltaproteobacteria.
GGUGCAGGUGGCUUUGUAAGUCAGGUGUGAAAGCCCAGGGCUCAACCCUGGAAGUGCAUUUGAUACUGCGAAGCUUGAGUGCUGGAGAGGCUAUUAGAAUACAUGGUGUAGUGGUGAAAUACGUAGAUAUCAUGUGGAAUACCGGAGGCGAAGGCGGAUAGCUGGCCAGACACUGACACUCAGACCCGAAAGCGUGGGGAUCAAACA